UCAGGACGAACGCUGGCGGCGUGCCUAAUACAUGCAAGUCGAACGGAGAUAUUCGCUGAUGAAGUACUUCGGUAAUGAAUCUUGGAUAUCUUAGUGGCGGACGGGUGAGUAACGCGUGAGCAGCCUGCCUUUCAGAGGGGGAUAACGUUUGGAAACGAACGCUAAUACCGCAUGACAUUAUCUUAUCGCAUGGUAGGAUAAUCAAAGGAGCAAUCCGCUGAAAGAUGGGCUCGCGUCCGAUUAGGUAGUUGGUGGGGUAACGGCCCACCAAGCCGACGAUCGGUAGCCGGACUGAGAGGUUGGACGGCCACAUUGGGACUGAGACACGGCCCAAACUCCUACGGGAGGCAGCAGUGGGGAAUAAUGCACAAUGGGGGGAACCCUGAUGCAGCGACGCCGCGUGGGUGAAGGAGUAUUUCGGUAUGUAAAGCCCUAUCAGCAGGGAAGAACAAUGACGGUACCUGACUAAGAAGCACCGGCUAAAUACGUGCCAGCAGCCGCGGUAAUACGUAUGGUGCAAGCGUUAUCCGGAUUUACUGGGUGUAAAGGG
Molecule: ribosomal RNA, 550 nt
Filed under: uncultured bacterium
Lineage: Bacteria
Description: bacterial SSU rRNA
Rfam family: Bacterial small subunit ribosomal RNA
Source: RNAcentral